This is an RNA transcript of Strigops habroptila (Kakapo), 4983 nucleotides long. It is a transcript of the gene named G protein subunit gamma 7, with no coding region annotated. The record is from RefSeq and is a predicted model, not a curated record. NCBI's taxonomy places the organism in Eukaryota, Metazoa, Chordata, Aves, Psittaciformes, Psittacidae. The transcript has 6 exons.
UAGUCCUGCCCGCGCCCGGCCGGGGCUGGGCAGCAGGGUGCGUUGCGCGGCGGCGCUGGUGUCUGAGGCGGUGGCUCCGCUCUUCCGCCGCUCGGCACCCCGGCCCCGCCGAAACCGAUGUGUGGAAUGAAAAGGCAGAUGCCAGCAGGUGUCCUUUAGGAGGUGGAGGAGGGGAGGCGUAUGCUGUGUAGGUGAGCAGGGACUGGAACCACGGUGCAUGGUUCAAGAACUGGGUGCCUGACCUCGGCAGCUCAUUUACUUCAACAGUGCUGGAGCAGGAGAGCUGUCAUUCUUUCAUCUGCCUUUGUGCUGAAGAAGGUGGUGUGAACACUCUGACCAGGAGGAAUCAUAACCAGGAUCCCCAGCAGCAAGCACACCCUGCGAGGCAGUAGCUGGAACUGCUUCACUGCAGUAAGGAGUAUUCUCGUGUGCUGGGGCCUGGAGCCAAUGGCAGACAAUGUCAACAACUAACAACAUAGCGCAAGCCCGCAAGCUGGUGGAGCAGCUCCGCAUCGAAGCUGGCAUCGAGAGGAUCAAGGUCUCGAAAGCAUCUUCUGAGCUAAUGAAUUACUGUGAGCAACAUGCCAGGAAUGACCCGCUGCUGGUUGGAGUGCCCGCUUCGGAGAAUCCUUUUAAGGACAAAAAGCCUUGUAUCAUCCUAUAGCUUUUCUCACUCUGGCGUGUGUGAUCUCUCAGGCAGGGCACUGUUCUCCAUCAACUGAAACCAAGCUACAAACUUAUAACUGUGCCGAGGGGUAAAUACUAAAUGUUGGAUUCAAAUAGAAUUUAAAUCUUGGGGGGGGGGGGGGGAGGAGGGAGGGGGGAGGAGUGUAAAAAAUUGCAAGUGGUUUUAGGGAAGGGUGUCUGCUCCAGGGCAGGUGCUGCACUGAGAGGGGUCAACAUUUACAAAGAAGAAGGGAAAAAAACCCAAAACCCAUGAUUGAGGGGUGGGGGGAGUAUUUUUAAUAGCGACAUUUAUAAUUGGUAGUGGGGUGGUGGAGGCAGCAGGGGUUCUUAUUGCAUCUGCCAAUGCAAGAUCUAAGUAGUGGGACCUCCCCAUAGAAGCUUUGAACAAAGCUCUGAGUGGGUCUCAUCCAAUUAGUUUCUAAUUAGCACAUUGUUGCAAGAAUUUGCUCUGUUCCUUGAGGAGGGAACAAGGGAGAAGAGUCCAGGGGGGGAGUUAUUUUGUAGAAAGCUAGGACAAAAAAGGAAAACAAAACAAACCAACCAAACCAACCAAAACACAGCUUGGAAAACUGCUGUUGCAAAUGGGUAAACUGAGGCUGGGGGGAGGAGGAGGAGGAUGGAGGCCAGGAGGCUCCCUCCUUGUGCCGCACGGCUCUGCUUGGAGGAGGGGAUGGUACCACAGGAAAACGCUCUAUAGUGUCAUGUCUAUUGGCCAAGAGUUUCCAUGAGCAAUGUUAGGAAGCCUGAGGCAUGGGAGAGGCCGGGCUUGAGCUGCUCUGAUUGCUUCUGAGGUUUCUCUGUGCUGUUAUCACUGGUUUUCCCAAAUGGGACUGUACCGGGGAGGGGUGGGAGGGGAGCUUUCAGUUGUGCCAUAUCACAUGAAAAAUCUUUUUAAGUUUGCCUUUUGGUGAGUCUUCGUUCAAAACACUAAAUUUGACAGAUCUACGAGCAUUCUCCAUCUCCCUUUCUCUUACCAAGAGCGGCAAAUGGAAUUUGUUCCACGGAACCCAGUUAAUUCAGGGAGAUGAGGGUAAGGCUGUAGAAGAAAUAAGUUCUUUUCCCAUCCCUUGGAAAUCUUGAAAUGCCAUUUCAACGGGAGCGCUCUGUUCACCAAUGUUAAACGUUGCAGCGCCAGGGAGAACGUGGUAUGGAGCAGCUGUGAGGAAGAGGGGACAAGCAGGCGAGCCUUCCUCCCACUGCCCACCACAGAGCCCUGAUGGCAACAGAGCCCAGCGGCUCCGUGCUGGGACAGGCGGAUGCUCAGGAGGAAAUAUCAGAGCUCAGGGAAGUCCCACUGUGUUUUCCCCUUGUCGCUGGAGCUGCUACCCCACGGUAGGCAGAGGCAUGGUUCUAUUUCCUAACCAGCAUGCUCGUACUCGUUCCCAGUUAUCCUGAACACAGGCACCCCGUGCCGGGGUCUGAAUACAGGCGAUGAUGAGUUUCAGUUUUGGGAAGAGAGGGAGAAAAGAAAACAAAACAACACACCUGAUGUGAAAUCUUGGCAUUUUUCCCAUUCCCUCAAUGCUUUGGAUUUGGUUUGAAAUGCCCCGACCUCCCACUGGGAUGGAAACCACAGGCGGCUGAUCCCUUCAUGGGACAGGGAGUGCUUCCUGUGGCUGUGGCUGCUGGGAGCCCUUGGGAGGGGGAGCCUGGAGGAGACUCUGGUCUCCUUUUGGUGUUAAGCCAUGUUCACACUUUCUGUUGUGAUUCAGUUGGAGGGAGGAAACCUCGCAGCACAUAUUGCAUAAUGCUUAGGCUGGUCAGACUUCAUGGUCCAGGCAGGGUACUGGGAGGCUUUGCUGGCUGCUUUUCAGAGGCUGAUGGUGUUCCAAUGCCAGAGGCCGGCUCGAAGGCAGGGAUUGGAGCAGAGCCUGCAGUUAUGUGGCUGGUACCCAGGGAGGGUGGGUCGUCAUCAGGAAGAAGGGCAGCUUCAGAGGUUCUUCCUCCGGUGACGCAGAGGUGGGCUGUGGAGUAUUGGCUGAGUGCAGCUGGCACCUCUCCAGUACCAACCAGCCAUGCAGCCAGCUCGGCAGCGUUGGUGGAGGCUGUGGUUAGCAGAGCUGCUUCAUUUACACUUCUUGGUUGCAGGUAUCUUUCCAUCCCUUUCUUUAAGUCACUUGCCUUUUUAAACGAAGUUGGAAACCCCCCACACACGCAUUUUUAACACUAACACAAACCUUGGCACCUCCUGUGUACGUCUUGCAACUGCUUUCCUGGGGUCCUUUGCUGAUCUGAGCGUUUUACACCUCCUGUCUCCCCCCACCCCGCUGUGCCAUGGGCUCCUGUCCUGGCACCAGCCUUGUGACAGGUUGCUUGUGAUCCCCUGGAUUUCACUCUGUCCCUGUGUGAGUGCUGGGGGGAGGCAGAGCAGAGGGAAGUGGAUUUAUUUCCCUCUGCAGCUGAGCAUGUCCCCCAAGCCCUACUUGCACCCCAGCCUGACACCACGCUGAGCAUCGUCUGGCAGCCAAGGGCAGCAGCCCUGGCACAGCAACAGGCGAUGUCUUUUUGGUUUUGUUGUUUAUUUUUCUUUUAAAUCUUUCAUCCAACAUAAGCUCUCAAAUGCCGCAUCUGUAGCGGGGAGCGAGCACAGUCCUGAGGUGCGCCUGGGUUUUGCCGCAGCAGGGCUUUCUCUUCUCCAUGAGGGAACUUCCUCUGUCCUUAAUCUAGUACAGUUCCAGCCUUAUUUUUCUACUCCAGAUUGCUGAUUCUUCCUCUAUGUUAGAGACCUGUGCAUGGUGCUAUAGCCGGUGACCCAGGCAAGUGCCCGAGCUGCAGGUCAGCCAGAAAUACCUGCGCUCUGUGCGGCAGCAAGUGACUGAGGUUACCGCAGGAGCCAUACACCGCUCCUCCGCUUGAGACCUGGGCAGGGACUGUUGUCCCCCCCAUCCAUCACUGUCUCAUGCUGCCGAGGGGGCUUCCCGGCACCCCCUGCCUGCACCCUGCCCUCCACGGUGCCCAGGAUGGUGAUGGGGCAGCUCAGGCCCAUGGGGGGGCUUGCUGCGGGAUGCUGCCGCAGCCCAGUGAAGCAGGGUCUACCCCUUGUCCUCCCACCCGCAUGGGCCAUCACGCUCAUCCCUGGGGUCUUGCCUGAGUCACACUGGCGGUGGGGUGGCCAGUGAGGGGUGAGGCAACAGGUUUAGGUCCAAAGCGCGGCUGGAGAUGGGAGUGGGGGACAGGGAGCAUCUGCUUGGAGUCCCUUAGUAACCUGGGGACAGGGCCGGGGGCUCCCGGCACAGGGAUGCUGGUGGGCCAGAGGCAGCCCAUGGGGCAGGCAGGGGGCUGCCAGUGGGUGCUGGUGUCUCUCAGUGGGUGACUCGUUCAGUGGAAAAAUCCUCAAGUUUGUGGGUUUUCUUUGGGGUUUUUUUUAUUUUUUUUUUUUUAGUUUUUUUUUUUAGUUUUUUCCUUGUCUGAGUAAAUCAGUGCUCAUACUGUAGAUGUUUUUGUAUAGCAUAAAUAUAAGUGCAAAUUACAGUAGUUGCUUGUACUUUGUUAGUGCAUUUGCUGGGGGGAAAAAAACAAAACAAAACAAAAAAAAAAGACACUUUUCAGGACUUUUUAAGUGCUCCAGAUGGCAAAGGGCGAGUGGGGACCCCUGAUGAGGCAUGGGCAGGCAGUGCCAGCAGCCCCGGCCUCACAAAGGCCUUGGUUUUGGAUGUAAACACAUGCCCAAAUCUGCCUGGCAUUUCUUUUUAGCAUGUGGCGAAGCUGUUGCCAAAAGUAGAAAGGAGAGAGACUGCAAAAGAAAAAGGGAGAAGAGGAAACAUUGCUCCUAUUUAAUUUGUUGGUCCUUUUUCCUUGUCUUCCCCUCCCUGUCUCCGGGACCAUCCCAGUGGUGCAGCCAGAGCUGGGAGACGCCUGGCACCCGCAUGACACCGGCUGAUGGCUCAGUGCCGGAGCCUCCGGAGCCUGGAGCCAAUUCCCCUUCCUCCGAGUACUUAAAAAGUCAACUUUAACAAAGUCAAACUAAUGUAUUUACUUCAUUGAACAGAAGCCACGUGUCUGAUACUUUUGCGCUCUUAAUUUCUUCUCUCUGGCCUAUUAUAAUUAGUAGUAUUAUUUGCCAAACUCUGAUCUUGUUGCCAAACACAAAUCAAGGUUUGUAAAGACUGUAUUUAGGAAGUAAUUGGUGUCUGUAAUGUAGGCUCCUCAUAACGUCUGCAUUUUUGGAUCUCUUUGAUUUUUAUUUCUGGUGUGCCAUAGACCAAUUUCUUGCCCAGUGUUUAAUAUUUUGUGGAAUUGUUGUUAAGAAGUGAAAUUGAUAAUACAAUAAAAAGGCUCACUUUUCAUUUUGCCAGA